CGGGGCGUAGCGCAGACCGGUAGCGCGUCUCCCUCGGACGGAGAAGGUCGUAGGUUCAAAUCCUACCGUCCCGACCA
This 77-nucleotide transfer RNA is filed under the name Patescibacteria group bacterium. Its description in RNAcentral is "tRNA-Pro". It matches the Rfam family "tRNA". From Rfam's summary of the family: Transfer RNA (tRNA) molecules are approximately 80 nucleotides in length. Their secondary structure includes four short double-helical elements and three loops (D, anti-codon, and T loops). The record is from RNAcentral.